GUCAACGGCCAUAUCACGUAGAACGCACCUGGUCUCGUCAGCUCCCAGAAGUUAAGUUACGUCGAGUCCCGUUAGUACUUGGAAGGGUGACCGCUUGGUCGGGGACGGGAUGUCGUUGGCG
Non-coding RNA from Daphnia pulex (common water flea), 121 nucleotides. Lineage: Eukaryota; Metazoa; Arthropoda; Branchiopoda; Diplostraca; Daphniidae. The record is from Rfam.